This 448-nucleotide ribosomal RNA is filed under the name uncultured prokaryote. Its description in RNAcentral is "bacterial SSU rRNA". It matches the Rfam family "Bacterial small subunit ribosomal RNA", at positions 355 to 796 of the family's 1533-position model. The record is from RNAcentral.
UCGAGAAUCUUCCGCAAUGGGCGAAAGCCUGACGGAGCGACGCCGCGUGGAGGACGAAGGCCUUUGGGUUGUAAACUCCUGUCACGGGUUAUGAAUGUGCGUGCGUGAACAGCGUACGUAUUGACGUAUGCCCGAAAGGAAGCACCGGCUAACUCUGUGCCAGCAGCCGCGGUAAUACAGAGGGUGCAAACGUUGUUCGGAAUCACUGGGCAUAAAGCGCGCGUAGGCGGUCCUGUAAGUGUGAAGUGAAAGCCCACGGCUCAACCGUGGAAUUGCUUUGCAUACUGCAGGACUCGAGGACGGUAGGGGAGAGCGGAACUCCUGGUGGAGCGGUGGAAUGCGUAGAUAUCAGGAGGAACACCGGUGGCGAAGGCGGCUCUCUGGUCCGUUUCUGACGCUGAGGUGCGAAAGCCAGGGUAGCGAACGGGAUUAGAUACCCGUGUAGUCC